AUUCAGGCCACCGAGUGGCAGGUAUAGAGUGUCUCACCUCGGAGUACUGGGGAUGAGGGGUGAGCGUCCGGGCAGCAGGCGAGCCCCCAAGGCUGGCCCGCUGACACCGCUGGCGGCAAAAAUUUCUACGGCAGUUUCUCUUGAACCAGGCAGAAAACAACCCCUGAGGCUGCUCGGUGCUCCCUAGUCUCCUGGUUUGCAUUGCACAUCCAUUUUGAGCCUGCUGCUACUGAUGAGAAAAUGACCUCAAACAACUGCCCACUAAAGGUCCCAUGUUGUGACGAUGCCGGGGGCUUUCUGCAUAGCGCUCCGCUUCUCAGACUGAGCAGCUUCUGGAGUUUUGUACAAUGCCUGGGCCUGAGGAAACCUGCCAGGAUAUUCCUGGUAGGAUGAAUGAUCACCCCCCCGUAACAGACAGAGACACCCAGAGCAGAGACAGAGUUCACACUGUGGGAUCUGACUCAAUGUUUGAAUUCUUAGGAGCUCACCACUUCAUUGGAUUUCUCAUGACUGAAAAAAAGAGACCACUAGAAUCUGGAUGAGAUGAGAAUUUAGGUGCUGUUUUAGAUUCCCCUAGAUUAGGUGGAUACCCAAAAGAGUGUGUGGAAAAACUGCAGGGAGGGCCGGGCGCGGUGGCUCAUCCCUGUAAUCCCAGCACUUCAGGAGGACGAGGCAGGCGGAUCAUCUGAGGUCAGGAGUUCGAGACCAGCCUGACCAACAUGGAGAAACCCUAUCUCUACUAAAAAUACAAAAGUACCCGGGCAUGGUGGCACAUGCCUGUAAUCCCAGCUACUCUGGAAGGCUGAGGCAGGAGAAUCGCUUGAACCCAGGAGGUGGAGGUUGCAGUGAGCCAAGAUCGCACCACUGCACUCCAGCCUGGGCAACAAGAGUGAAACUUGGUCUCAAAAAAAAAAAAAAAAAAAAAAACCUGCAGGGAGUCUGAGUCCUCUGAAAUGGGAUGAAAAAUUUAUAUGUAAAAAUUGUGUAUAUUUCCUCCAGCCCCAGGAAGAGAGCCCUGUGUAUUCUGUUGGACAGAUCUGCUGAUUUUCAAGUUUCCAAGACUCCUCCAGACUUAAGAAGUACUGUUUUAUAUUAAAUAUUUUGCAAAGGUAAUUUUAAGAGGGAGCAUUGGUUUCCCUCAAUCACAGGCUCUGCAAAAUACAAUGCGCUGUCUACUGUAUACUUUGCCACAUGGAGCCUGGCUGCUUGACUCAUGUAACUCAACGUAAACAGUAACUGGGAGAGGACACACACGAGCAGGCAGGAUUCACAGGGAGAUCAAGUAUUUUGCCCAAGAGCACACAGCUAGAGAGUGGAGAAGUCCGGAUUCAACCCAGACAGAUUGACUCCAGAGCGUGUGCUAUUCGUGGCUAUGCCAGAAUGCCCUGAUGGCCUCAGGUUUGCCUUGCCAACUGACAAAGGCGACUGUUUCCUACCCAUUGGCUCAGAUGGUUCCAGCUUCCUACCCUUCCAGUUAAAAUAAACAAAAACGAGGGUCUUGAGUGUCUAUGAUUUUCAUAAGAUCUAUGGCGUUUCUUCUGCAGAUGAUCAACAGUUGCCUGCCUUGGACUUUGGAGUUCCCAAGAACUAGAAAAUCCAGGUCAGGAACUGUAUCUUUGCUCAGCCACCUGCAAACAGACUUGAGAACAAUGUAAACCACCCUCUGCAGGAUAUUGAUUCUGAUGGAGUAAAUGUUGAUUAAGCAGAAUGGUGUUUUUUUUUUUAACUGGAGGAAUUCCAGAUCUUUCCUUAGGCCUGUCUCUCCAGGGAAAUGAGCUCUAGCCUUAAAAAUCUACAGAAAACCUG
This 1806-nucleotide long non-coding RNA is filed under the name Homo sapiens (human). RNAcentral describes it as "HSALNT0347951". The record is from RNAcentral. Lineage: Eukaryota; Metazoa; Chordata; Mammalia; Primates; Hominidae.